Long non-coding RNA from Rhagoletis zephyria (snowberry fruit fly), 1456 nucleotides. RefSeq lists it as uncharacterized. The record is from RefSeq and is a predicted model, not a curated record. NCBI's taxonomy places the organism in Eukaryota, Metazoa, Arthropoda, Insecta, Diptera, Tephritidae.
UAAAUGAUGUCGUUAAUUUACUCCAAGUUUAUACUUACAACAAUCUAUUAACAAUAAAUAAGACUGCUUUAUACUUUUAGGUAGUUUAACGAAAGUUUGAACGACAAUAGUUGAUACCUGCGUCGUGUAUAUAAAAUUCGGUUUCGACCGAACUUAUCUUCACUUGUUGGUUGCAGUUUUAUAGCUUAUUAAAUUCUAGCACAAUAAGUUUGAACGAGUACUUUCAAUUCAUUCAUUUAAAAUUCUGGCUUGGAACCGAAAACAGCUAACAACAUAUAUAUUUAAGUACGGCAUUCUGAGAGUACAUUGAUCGACCAACAGCGGCCUGACCCUGUUUAGGUCGGCGAAUAUCUAAAACGUUGCUCGUCGAUGGGAAAAUAUCUCCUCCGCAUUCUUCCUCUCAGGGAUAGCAUAAUGUCAAACGCUGGAUUUGAAACCUUUAUCUGUUCCGCUUUGCCAGAUAUGAUUACACUCAAACUCGAUUUCAGUUAGGCGUUUUACCUGCAAAGGAUGAAGUCAUCUUAGAGCCUGCUCAAGCCUUAGAACUCACCGACAAUGGACCACGUUAUUUGUGACCUCGUGCUGUUCUAACCAAACAAAUAACAUGGCUGCCUCAGUGACGCACAACACACAUAACGCACCGGUCCCACCAAAUACCCAGACUGCCCCAAUGGACGACCGAAGGUCAACUGAGCGACGCAACCACAAGACGACCACCUUACAACAUAACACAACCACAAACCCACCUACACGCUGCGGCAACUCACGAUCGAGGACAAACGAACGGCGCCUAGUUUCUCAGACCUUCAGUUAGGUGUAUCGGCCCAGGAUAUACCGUAAUGCGAUAUCAGUCAGUUGCAAUUCCUGUUUUGGCUGGCGCCACUUGAGAAGGAACGAGCAACUUCCUUGUUACAGUGCUGCAUAAGCUCUUCUGCGGUGCAGCCUACUACCAACACAAGGCGUGCUGCCAACAGCAUCAUACGGAACAAAUGUCCGGCAGGCAACACCACACCUCACUAACACCCCAUAUUGCGAUCAGUGUCCCAAGGCAUAAGAAAAUAUUACAAUUCAACUGUAAUGGACUCCUGAACAAAAUCGAGGAGACAACCGUCUUCAUGGGUUGGCAUGGAAUACUGAUAGUUGCGGUCCAAGAGACGAAGCUGCAUAGGAAUUCCACAUGGUUCAACUGUGCCAGAUAUAACCUGCGCCAUAAACACUAAGAUAACUCGAGGUCUUAACCAGAACCACCCUUGUGAGGACAGUCUUGGUAGCAAUGGAUAUGUCAUAGACGUUUGACAGAGUGUACCUCUCCAUUCUACUAGAAUAGAGCAUGGCGUCCUCUCUCCCUGAGUGCUAGACAUUAGUCUACCAAGAAAAAUAUAACAGGGGUGUCCUUCGCCCGCCUUUAUUUAAUACAAUAUCUCGAAGAUCCCUCAACUACCAGAGGUAGUCUCCA